RNAcentral lists this ribosomal RNA (206 nucleotides) under uncultured bacterium. RNAcentral's name for it is "partial 16S ribosomal RNA". It matches the Rfam family "Bacterial small subunit ribosomal RNA", at positions 568 to 774 of the family's 1533-position model. The record is from RNAcentral.
UGCGUAGGCGGUCCAUCAAGCCUGAGGUGAAAGGCAACGGCUCAACCGUUGUAAGCCUUGGGAACUGUUGGACUUGAGUACAGGAGAGGAAAGUGGAAUUCCUAGUGUAGCGGUGAAAUGCGUAGAUAUUAGGAGGAACACCAGUGGCGAAGGCGACUUUCUGGACUGUAACUGACGCUGAGGCACGAAAGCGUGGGGAGUGAACA